GCUUCCCUGUCUGGGAGAUUUCACCACUUCAACUUGGCUGGGAAAUACUGCAAUCAAAAUGUAUUUUGCAGUUCAGUAAAGCAGAAUGAAAUGAUUGUACGGAACCGACAUGAUCGAUCAUAUUUGCUGUCAAUAUACACAAAGUUCAGUCAAACCACGUUCUCAACAGUAAAUUCUGAAAUGGUCAUCAAGAGAAGCAAGUAAAAGGGCAGCUCGGUGUACUAAGCAACGAGCCACAGCGCUAAAGAGUGAGAUGUAGGCCGUCUACCCCUGUGACCUAUAGAUCACACGGAGACAACUUUACCGUUGCUGCAAGGCAACCCUUCAAGUCAGAAGCAAACUGAAGUACAAAUUAUGUAACUGGGAAAAAAAAACUUACC
Long non-coding RNA from Solanum pennellii, 380 nucleotides. RefSeq lists it as uncharacterized. The transcript has 2 exons. NCBI's taxonomy places the organism in Eukaryota, Viridiplantae, Streptophyta, Magnoliopsida, Solanales, Solanaceae. The record is from RefSeq and is a predicted model, not a curated record.